Molecule: ribosomal RNA, 494 nt
Filed under: uncultured bacterium
Lineage: Bacteria
Description: bacterial SSU rRNA
Rfam family: Bacterial small subunit ribosomal RNA
Source: RNAcentral
AAUGAACGUUGGCGGCGUGGAUUAGGCAUGCAAGUCGCACGAGAAACCAAUUAGCUUGCUAUGAGGUGGACAGUGGCGCAAGGGAGAGUAACGCGUGGUUACGUGCCCUCGGGACCGGGAUAGUGUCGGGAAACUGGCAGUAAUACCGGAUAACAUCUUUGGAUCAAAUGGUGUGAUUCCGCCCGAGGAUCGGACCGCGUACUAUUAGCUUGUUGGUGGGGUAACGGCCCACCAAGGCUGCGAUGGUUACCGGGUGUGAGAGCAUGGCCCGGCUCACUGGGACUGAGACACUGCCCAGACAUCUACGGAUGGCUGCAGUCGAGAAUCUUCGGCAAUGGACGAAAGUCUGACCGAGCGACGCCGCGUGCGGGAUGAAGGCCCUCGGGUUGUAAACCGCUGUCAGUUGGGAGGAAAUUCCAUAGGGUUCUCUCUAAGGAUUGACCAAUCUUCAGAGGAAGGACGGGCUAAGUUCGUGCCAGCCGCCGCCGUAACAC